This 304-nucleotide ribosomal RNA is filed under the name Salmonella enterica subsp. enterica serovar Fresno. Its description in RNAcentral is "partial 23S ribosomal RNA". It matches the Rfam family "Bacterial large subunit ribosomal RNA", at positions 1163 to 1439 of the family's 2925-position model. Lineage: Bacteria; Pseudomonadati; Pseudomonadota; Gammaproteobacteria; Enterobacterales; Enterobacteriaceae. The record is from RNAcentral.
CAAGACAACUUUACGGAGUUGACGAUUGACGGAGCGAAGCGACGUCAAAGCGUUCAUUAAAGUCGAGUUGGCUUAGGGAUACGUUCGUUGGGUAGGGGAGCGUUCUGUAAGCCUGCGAAGGUGGCCUGUGAGGGUUGCUGGAGGUAUCAGAAGUGCGAAUGCUGACAUAAGUAACGAUAAUGCGGGUGAAAAACCCGCACGCCGGAAGACCAAGGGUUCCUGUCCAACGUUAAUCGGGGCAGGGUGAGUCGACCCCUAAGGCGAGGCCGAAAGGCGUAGUCGAUGGGAAACAGGUUAAUAUUCC